UUUGGUUGAGAGGGUUGUCUCAAUAGUACCAAAGUGUUAGAGAAGGUUUGUGAGCUCAACCAUAAAGCUCUAGUUUGGUUUUAUAGAGUUUCCGGGAAAACUCUUAGGUUGAGUCUACCUUUAAAGAUUUCAGAGGUUUUAAGAGUUCCUUGAUACUCUAAGGUACUAACUUACCCGUAAAAGUUAGAGGUUCUUAAGAGUGCCCUUGAUACUCUAAGGUGUGAGUCUACCCGUAAAAGACUGGUUCCUAAGCGAAGUAGCCAUAAAGCUUAGAGAGGUUUUUAAGAGUUCCUUGAUACUCUAAGGUACUAACUUACCCGUAAAAGUUAGAGGUUCUUAAGAGUGCCCUUGAUACUCUAAGGUGUGAGUCUACCCGUAAAAGACUGGUUCCUAAGCGAGGUAGCCUUAAAGCUUAGAAAGGUUUUGCCAUUACCUUUAGGCGAGUGAAUUCCGGCUGUUGGUCGGGACUGGACUAGCCCUUGUUUGGGUGAACCAGUAUAAAUCUCUUGUGUUGUUCUCUGUUAAUUAUAGUUCUAUCUUUUACUUAAAAAACAACACUUAAUUAAAAAGAUCCCUCUUCCAGUUACCUGGUCAAACACAGAGGUUGACUACUUUACGCAGAUCCCUCAUCCAGUUAUCUGGUCAACUAUCUGAGGUUAUAUUCAUUGCUCUAAAUUCUUAUAUUUGUUCAAGUAUUACUUAUCAUAUUUAUCCAGUUAUCUGGUCACUUACUUGUUUAUCAAAUUAUCCAGUUAUCUGGUCAUUUACCUGUUUGUCAAUAUAUCCAGUUAUCUGGUCAUUUACCUGUUUGUCAAUAUAUCCAGUUAUCUGGUCAUUUACUUGCUUAUCAAUAUAUCCAGUUAUCUGGUCAUUUACUCUACAAUACAAUUUGUGUUUCCAAUAUAACUUAGUAUCCAUAUACUAUAGUUGUGUGUGAAACACUAUCAAGCAAGUUGACUCAGUAUUCAUAUACUGUAGUAAGCUUCAAAGAGUAAUACUUACAGUAUUAUAUCAAUUAAAAUAAUAAUAUCCUUAUAUCAUUACUGUUCAACCAUUUGUUUAUUAAGCUUUUACAGGUAAUUCCGCUAUCAACCUGUAUAAAUCGAAAAGAGGCUAUCACCCCCCCUUAUAGCCUCGGAUCACGAUCCAACA
This 1152-nucleotide long non-coding RNA is filed under the name Zostera marina. RNAcentral's name for it is "long non-coding RNA (ZMAR_LNC000899)". Lineage: Eukaryota; Viridiplantae; Streptophyta; Magnoliopsida; Alismatales; Zosteraceae. The record is from RNAcentral.